AGCGAACGCUGGCGGCAGGCCUAACACAUGCAAGUCGAACGAACUCUUCGGAGUUAGUGGCGGACGGGUGAGUAACACGUGGGAACGUGCCUUUUGGUUCGGAAUAACUCAGGGAAACUUGUGCUAAUACCGAAUGUGCCCUUCGGGGGAAAGAUUUAUCGCCAUUAGAGCGGCCCGCGUCUGAUUAGCUAGUUGGUGAGGUAACGGCUCACCAAGGCGGCGAUCAGUAGCUGGUCUGAGAGGAUGACCAGCCACACUGGGACUGAGACACGGCCCAGACUCCUACGGGAGGCAGCAGUGGGGAAUCUUGCGCAAUGGGCGAAAGCCUGACGCAGCAUGCCGCGUGAAUGAUGAAGGUCUUAGGAUUGUAAAAUUCUUUCACCGGGGACGAUAAUGACGGUACCCGGAGAAGAAGCCCCGGCUAACUUCGU
RNAcentral lists this ribosomal RNA (431 nucleotides) under uncultured bacterium. RNAcentral's name for it is "partial 16S ribosomal RNA". It matches the Rfam family "Bacterial small subunit ribosomal RNA", at positions 29 to 506 of the family's 1533-position model. The record is from RNAcentral.